UACAGAGGGUGCAAGCGUUAAUCGGAAUUACUGGGCGUAAAGCGCGCGUAGGUGGUUCGUUAAGUUGGAUGUGAAAUCCCCGGGCUCGACCUGGGAACUGCAUCCAAAACUGGCGAGCUAGAGUAGGGCAGAGGGUGGUGGAAUUUCCUGUGUAGCGGUGAAAUGCGUAGAUAUAGGAAGGAACACCAGUGGCGAAGGCGACUACCUGGACUGAUACUGACACUGAGGUGCGAAAGCGUGGGGAGCAAACAGGAUUAGAAACCCGAGUAGU
RNAcentral lists this ribosomal RNA (271 nucleotides) under uncultured bacterium. RNAcentral describes it as "partial 16S ribosomal RNA". It matches the Rfam family "Bacterial small subunit ribosomal RNA", at positions 524 to 794 of the family's 1533-position model. The record is from RNAcentral.